Molecule: small nuclear RNA, 103 nt
Organism: Onychomys torridus (southern grasshopper mouse)
Lineage: Eukaryota; Metazoa; Chordata; Mammalia; Rodentia; Cricetidae
Source: RefSeq, a predicted model, not a curated record
GUGUUCACCUGAGCAGUACAUACCCUGAAAGGGGAACAAUACAGAGACCAGCAUGGGCCUGUGAAAGGAUGACACACCGAUCAAUGAAGCUGUCCAGAGUUUU